AACGAACGCUGGCGGCAUGCCUAACACAUGCAAGUCGAACGAAACGUUCGGGUCUAGUGGCCCCCGAGUUCGUAACGCGUGGGAACCUGCACUUGGGGUCGGCAUAACUCCACGAAAGGGGUACUAAUACGAGAUAAUAUCUACUGCCGGAAGAUUUAUCGCCCUUGGAUGGUCCCGCGUUGGAUUAGCUAGUUCGUAGGGUAAAAGCUUACCAAGGCGACGAUCAGUAGCUGGUCUGAGAGGAUGCUCAGCAAAACUGGGACUGAGACACGGCCCGGACUCCUACGGGAGGCAGCAGUAGGGAAUAUUGGACACUGCGCGAAAGCCUGAUCCAUCAAUGCCGCGUGAGUGUUGAAGGCCUGAGGGUUGUAAAGCUCUUUUACCCGGGAUGAUAAUGACAGUACCGUGAGAAUAAGCCCCGGCUAACUCCGUG
Molecule: ribosomal RNA, 433 nt
Filed under: uncultured bacterium
Lineage: Bacteria
Description: partial 16S ribosomal RNA
Rfam family: Bacterial small subunit ribosomal RNA
Source: RNAcentral